This 65-nucleotide transfer RNA is filed under the name Conanalus pieli. RNAcentral describes it as "tRNA-Tyr". The record is from RNAcentral. Lineage: Eukaryota; Metazoa; Arthropoda; Insecta; Orthoptera; Tettigoniidae.
GGUAGGAUGGCUGAGAUCAGGCGAUAAACUGUAAAUUUAUUCACGAGAAUAGUUCUCUCCUACCA